This 71-nucleotide transfer RNA is filed under the name Candidatus Thorarchaeota archaeon. RNAcentral describes it as "tRNA-Phe". The record is from RNAcentral. Lineage: Archaea; Promethearchaeati; Candidatus Thorarchaeota.
GCCGAGAUAGAUUAGCCCGGGAGAUCGCGCGGCUGAAGACCGCGUUGUCGAGUGUUCAAAUCGGCUGGGGA